RNAcentral lists this transfer RNA (64 nucleotides) under Rattus norvegicus (Norway rat). It matches the Rfam family "tRNA". From Rfam's summary of the family: Transfer RNA (tRNA) molecules are approximately 80 nucleotides in length. Their secondary structure includes four short double-helical elements and three loops (D, anti-codon, and T loops). Lineage: Eukaryota; Metazoa; Chordata; Mammalia; Rodentia; Muridae. The record is from Rfam by way of RNAcentral.
GGGGAUUUAGCUCAGCGGUAGAGCGCUUGCCUAGCAAGCGCACUGGGUUCGGUCCCCAGCUCCG